Molecule: long non-coding RNA, 1312 nt
Organism: Drosophila erecta
Lineage: Eukaryota; Metazoa; Arthropoda; Insecta; Diptera; Drosophilidae
Exons: 2
Source: RefSeq, a predicted model, not a curated record
AAAUGUGUAUACUCCACAUGUAUUUUUAGUUGUGUGACGGGUGUGAGCGAGUAUUUGAGUCAACCUAAUUUAAAUUUGAUGCCCAGUAAAACUAUCAUUUCGAAUCGGAUCCCGUGCUGGGAUCAAGUGCGCCCCAAUAUGAGACAUACCCUACGCAAAGGGUGCCAACAAAGGCGGAUUUCCAUAAAACAACAUUUGCGGAGGGCAUUAAAAUGCUGUCGGCGCCAUCGCCUCAAACAAUGUCCAAGUGUCCCGGGGACAUCGUGAUUAGCACUGGAAAAAAACUCCCGACGGCCACUGGACAGGAGCCAGAACCAUCCAUACAGAUGGGUAGGCGACACCAUCCGCUGGCAAUUAGCCCGUUUAGAGGGUUUCUGUUUGGUUACACCUGGCGUAUACGUAAUGCAGCGUGAAUAAUUUUCCAGCCGAGCGAUAUUUGAACAAUUCUCGUAGCAAAAGGCUGCAUAACAAUUACUCCAGAGCAGGGCUCACAUGUGGGGGUGCGCCAUAUGGUAUAGUGCUGCCAAACCCUGCAAGUGACCCCCAUUCCCCCGUUUCCCUCGCCGAAUAGUUGACGUCAAGCGGACUGACUGUUUACCUUUCGUCAGGCGAUAAGCUGCAUUCUGCUGUAACAAUCGCAUCCAUCAUAGCCGCUUUUUCCGAUUAGAUUGCCAUAGAUCCGUAUUUCGGCCAAGCCACUUACUAAAAACGAUGGACAAUUCUUCAGCCGCCGACAUGCGGAGCUGAUAGCUGGGUUACGAAUUGGGUCCCGGGGGCUUGGCUAAUCGAAUGGCCCCCGAAAUCGGAACCCGAUAACGUGCAAAUGUCUCGAGAUUCGCAGGCCAGGCAGUCGGCAAGUGAACGUGCCUGGAAACGUGUCUGCCAUGUGCCAAAAUUGAUUUGCCAUCAACAGCGUGCACGGCAAACAAAUAAAUAUGCCAUAUGAGCAAAGGUCUGGCCCUGUUAUUGUUUUCCAUGUUUGUUUGUACAAGAAACUCAAUCAUAAGGCAACAGUUUUGCCUCGACCGAAUGAAAGCCUCUGCGAUGAGCAGCAUUUGCCUCCUUAUUAUUGGCUGUUAUUCCUUAAUUAAUAUUUACUUAUUUGUAUUUGUUAUUUGUAGUUGCCUCAUGCCCUACAACGCAAUGAAUGUUUUUAAAAUAAAUGAAUAAAUGAUAUCCUGUCACAAGUAAAUAUUCCAAGGAUGGUAUUUUCUAGGCAACCACUUGAGCAUUAGUUUAGAUUUAAUUCUAUGCAGUCCACUUAUCUUUCAUUUGCUCCCUGAAAUACCUAAAAUAAAUACUUUUAACCAUG